CCUACGGGGGGCAGCAGUGAGGAAUAUUGGUCAAUGGGCGCAAGCCUGAACCAGCCAAGUCGCGUGAGGGAUGACGGUCCUAUGGAUUGUAAACCUCUUUUGUCGGGGAGCAAGGCCCGCCACGUGUGGCGGGAAGGAGAGUACCCGAAGAAAAAGCAUCGGCUAACUCCGUGCCAGCAGCCGCGGUAAUACGGAGGAUGCGAGCGUUAUCCGGAUUUAUUGGGUUUAAAGGGUGCGUAGGCGGAAGGUUAAGUCAGCGGUAAAAUGUCGGUGCUCAACACCGGCCUGCCGUUGAAACUGGUCUUCUUGAGUGAGCGAGAAGUAUGCGGAAUGCGUGGUGUAGCGGUGAAAUGCAUAGAUAUCGAGAGGAACACUCGUGGCGAAGGCGGGUUCCUGGACAUUAACUGACGCUGAGGCACGAAGGCCAGGGGAGCGAAAGGGAUUAGAUACCCGUGUAGUC
Molecule: ribosomal RNA, 460 nt
Filed under: uncultured bacterium
Lineage: Bacteria
Description: partial 16S ribosomal RNA
Rfam family: Bacterial small subunit ribosomal RNA
Source: RNAcentral